This 196-nucleotide ribosomal RNA is filed under the name uncultured Pseudomonas sp. Its description in RNAcentral is "partial 16S ribosomal RNA". It matches the Rfam family "Bacterial small subunit ribosomal RNA", at positions 336 to 524 of the family's 1533-position model. Lineage: Bacteria; Pseudomonadati; Pseudomonadota; Gammaproteobacteria; Pseudomonadales; Pseudomonadaceae. The record is from RNAcentral.
CUCCUACGGGAGGCAGCAGUGGGGAAUAUUGGACAAUGGGCGAAAGCCUGAUCCAGCCAUGCCGCGUGUGUGAAGAAGGUCUUCGGAUUGUAAAGCACUUUAAGUUGGGAGGAAGGGUUGUAGAUUAAUACUCUGCAAUUUUGACGUUACCGACAGAAUAAGCACCGGCUAACUCUGUGCCAGCAGCCGCGGUAAU